Molecule: long non-coding RNA, 606 nt
Filed under: Lathyrus oleraceus (garden pea)
Lineage: Eukaryota; Viridiplantae; Streptophyta; Magnoliopsida; Fabales; Fabaceae
Description: Pisum sativum (pea) long non-coding RNA (PSAT_LNC034776)
Source: RNAcentral
GCAGCAGAAGCAAUUCGGAACGCCAUGAAACGCAAAAUAAACGCAGAAUGAACGAAAAGGAAAUUCAAAUUCACAUCAGUUGCAAAACAGAACUAUAUACAUACAGGGCGCCUUCGUGAAUUUGGGGGCUCUUAUAAAAAAAAUUCAGAAAUUAUCUUCCACUUCUUCUUCCCGCGCCUCUAACCAACCUUCAAUCUUCCAAUCACCAGCCAUUACAACUCUUUAUAAUUCUGUAAAUCGAACCGCGCCUCCGCAAUAUCACAACAAUAGCAUAAUUCGCGAGCUUGAUCUUUCGAAAUCCAAAACAAGAAUUGACAAAAGAAAGCUCAGAAGUGGAUCGAGAAGAGGAGAAGAAUCAGAAGUCGUAACAACACGAUUGAAGAAGGAGAUUGGAACAUCUUACCGGGAGCCACCGUGUUGAAUGUUGGACGCAGAUUCAAGGUUUCAAUGGCAGUUAUUCAGACGACGAACGAAGCUUGACGUCGUGAUAGCUUAAGGAUGUCACAGAGGGAGGUUCUCCGGCGCCGACGGGAAGGGUUUCUCAUUACCGGCCUCAACAUACCGUUGUCGUUUUCGUGUGCUAGUGUCUCAUUUUGAACGAAGAGU